UUACCCUGGUACAAAAGGGUAAGAAGCGUGU
Molecule: small RNA, 31 nt
Filed under: Bombyx mori (domestic silkworm)
Lineage: Eukaryota; Metazoa; Arthropoda; Insecta; Lepidoptera; Bombycidae
Description: ovarian small RNA-36476
Source: RNAcentral